Hippocampus comes (tiger tail seahorse) is the source of this 380-nucleotide long non-coding RNA. RefSeq lists it as uncharacterized. The record is from RefSeq and is a predicted model, not a curated record. Lineage: Eukaryota; Metazoa; Chordata; Actinopteri; Syngnathiformes; Syngnathidae. The transcript has 2 exons.
CAUUUUAGGGGAAGCUGAGCUUCCCUUGCAGAGUUAGAGCAAUCGCCUCUGCUCCCUGCCCAGCCUGGCUCCAUGUUUUCCUCCCCGGACCACUUGACCCUGCACCCAUCCUUCCCCCAUCUCCUUCGCUUUUUGAUUCUCUAACGUCAUUACCUUUGCUACCCAUAACAGGACUGCCUGGUGAACCUCGGCCUGGAGAAAAAGUGGAUUGGCCAGGAGAUCGUCCCUGAAAAGUGGUGCAAUUACCACAAUCAGACCUGCUGAAGAGGCCACAGCUGUCAUUAAAUCAACCCACUAGCUCAAUGAGAACAUAAUAUUCACAUUAAUGCAUUAGCAUUAGCUUCGUUGUCAAGUAUGAUGUCAGACCUAUUGUGUUGUAU